RNAcentral lists this ribosomal RNA (390 nucleotides) under Triticum aestivum (bread wheat). RNAcentral describes it as "partial small subunit ribosomal RNA". Lineage: Eukaryota; Viridiplantae; Streptophyta; Magnoliopsida; Poales; Poaceae. The record is from RNAcentral.
AUGGUGUCAAGCUCUGCAUUCACCUCCAACUCACUACUGAGACUCUCAUUCAGUUUUCUCCACUCCGUGACAGUUUUUGGUUGGUUUGCCAAGAAGCCAGCUAUGGCGAUUAUUGCAAGAGGAAGACCAUUGCACUUCUUCAAGAUUUGUUCUGCUUGUUCAACCAACUCAGGAUACUGCCGGUGCUACGCGUGGGAGGGAAAAGAAUGUUCUACUGCAACAAUAAGGAAGGAAGUAACAAAUCAUGUCAAAUGUACUAAGUCACAUAGGGAGCAAAAGGAUGUUGUGGCUAGAACACUAAGGUCGGGAGUAAUACGUCAUGUCAAGUGUAACAAGUCAUUUCCAUUGUGUAAAACAUACAUAUACACUAUUAGAAGGGACAAGCCAUGA